Flavobacterium sp. ABG is the source of this 109-nucleotide non-coding RNA. NCBI's taxonomy places the organism in Bacteria, Pseudomonadati, Bacteroidota, Flavobacteriia, Flavobacteriales, Flavobacteriaceae. The record is from Rfam.
AAUACAGAGGAAAAAUUUGAACUGAUUGCAACCUCUUCAUAAUGAAAUGGUUCGUUAUGAAUACUGAAAUGUUUUGAUUUCAGUAGUAAAAAAUGCUAAAGCAGGAACU